Molecule: long non-coding RNA, 543 nt
Filed under: Anas platyrhynchos platyrhynchos (common mallard)
Lineage: Eukaryota; Metazoa; Chordata; Aves; Anseriformes; Anatidae
Description: lncRNA (ENSAPLG00000030730.1)
Source: RNAcentral
ACUGUCCUAGCCACCUUUUAUUUGAGGAGGAUUGUAAAACCAAAAUUCUCCUGCCUUACACAAUUCUGAUUCACACCCCGCUGAGGUACCAGAGGCCAACGUAAUUAAGGAAAGCUCUGCUGUGAUCACCAUUGUGCCUUGAAGCUGCCAACCCCUUCCUGCUGUAUUGGAUGAUUAUGAGCAGGAGCACAUAUCAAGAGCCAAGGCCUGGGAUCGCUAUCAGUGAGAAAGACCAACGCUUUGAAUGUGACAACCAAAAUUCUACCAGAGGGCAGCAUGGACAGCACCAACCUGACCAUCUUUUCUUAGGAAGCUUUUCCACAGAUGAAAGGAUAACCAGCAUCCUAGCUUUGACUGAUGAGCAACCACCGAACCCCGGGAAUCACCUCAUGUUAUGGAUGUCAUCAAGACCUUGCAGUCCGAAUUUCAGAGGAAUUUGGAUCCACCCUUUCAAGAGACAUCACAUGUUACAAAUUAACCACAUAGCAUGUAUAAGUGGAACACCCUUCAACCUGUAAUCAUGUUCUGGAUGGUCCUCUCAAA